GUAAUGCCGGAUGCUCCAGUUGAUCGCAUGGUCUUCUGGGAAAGCCUUUGCGGCAUGGGAUGGGGUCGCGUCCUAUCAGCUUGAUGGCGGGGUAACGGCCCACCAUGGCUUCGACGGGUAGCCGGCCUGAGAGGGCGACCGGCCACAUUGGGACUGAGAUACGGCCCAGACUCCUACGGGAGGCAGCAGUGGGGAAUAUUGCACAAUGGGCGCAAGCCUGAUGCAGCGACGCCGCGUGAGGGAUGGAGGCCUUCGGGUUGUAAACCUCUUUUGUUAGGGAGCAAGGCAUUUUGUGUUGAGUGUACCUUUCGAAUAAGCACCGGCUAACUACGUGCCAGCAGCCGCGGUAAUACGUAGGGUGCAAGCGUUAUCCGGAAUUAUUGGGCGUAAAGGGCUCGUAGGCGGUUCGUCGCGUCCGGUGUGAAAGUCCAUCGCUUAACGGUGGAUCCGCGCCGGGUACGGGCGGGCUUGAGUGCGGUAGGGGAGACUGGAAUUCCCGGUGUAACGGUGGAAUGUGUAGAUAUCGAAAAAAGACCAC
This 538-nucleotide ribosomal RNA is filed under the name Bifidobacterium breve. RNAcentral's name for it is "bacterial SSU rRNA". It matches the Rfam family "Bacterial small subunit ribosomal RNA", at positions 163 to 709 of the family's 1533-position model. The record is from RNAcentral. Lineage: Bacteria; Bacillati; Actinomycetota; Actinomycetes; Bifidobacteriales; Bifidobacteriaceae.